GUUCUGGUGUGUGAGGAGAAUAUUUGAGGCUCUGCAGUAAAAAUGUCUUCACUUCAGUCUCUGGGAGAGUUGAUCAGCUAAAGCGACUAACUGCUGCUGCUGCAGAAAUCUUCUCACCAGGCUGUGGAAACUUUCUUCUCCUCCUCAACAACUUGGUGGAGUUCUUUCCAGAACCAGAGAAGAUAUUCUGCGGUCUUCGUGACAAUCGGAGCUCCAGAAUCAGGUUGUGGCUGUUAGCUAAACACGGCUAAAGAAACCCUGCUACCACUUCAGGAUCAUCCAUCAGCUGGGACUGAUUCAUCGUGUGUUCUUCACCACCUGGACCUGCACAGCAUGGACACAGAUUUUCAACAGGUGGUUGCGGUUAAAGAAGAAGCUACAGAAGAACAGAGUGCUCGUGUCAACCACCAGCACCUAGAUUUUCUCCACACAAAGGAGGAAUAGGAGAAACUCUGGCCUAGUAUGGAGGGAGAGCAUCUCCAUUUGAAUAAGGAGACUGAUGCUGCCCGGUUUCAAUCCUUUAGCCAUAAAACACAUUUAAACAAACACACGAGAGUCUACAUGAAGCAGAAACAUUUUGCCUGUGAGCACUGUGGACAAAGGUUUCACCAAAAGAUUAAUUUAACCACACACACAAGCGUCCACACAGGACAGAAGCCUUUCGCCUGUGACCUCUGGGGAAAGAAAUUUAGCUUAAAGUCAAAUUUAAACAUUCAUAUGAAAGUCCACACAGGAGAGAAGCCUUUUGCCUGUGAGCUAUGUGGACAAAGAUUUAGCCAAAAGACCCAUUUAAACAUUCACAUGAGAGUCCACACAGGACAGAAGCCUUUUGCAUGUGAGCUCUGUGUAAAAAGAUUUAGCCAAAAGACACAUUUAAACAGUCACAUGAGUGUCCACACAGGACAGAAGCCUUUCGCAUGUGAGCUCUGUGUAAAAAGAUUUAGCCGAAAGACACAUUUAAACAGUCACAUGACUGUCCACACAGGACAGAAGCCUUUCACCUGUGAGCUCUGUGUAAAAAGAUUUAGCCGAAAGACAAAUUUAAACAGUCACAUGAGUGUCCACACAGGACAGAAGCCUUUCGCCUGUGAGCUCUGUGUAAAAAGAUUUAGCCAAAAGAUAUGUUUAAACAGACACAUGAGAGUCCACACUGGCUUUUCGCCUGUGAGUUCGGUGGAAAAGAUUUACCCAAAAGAUCAGUUUAAACUGUCACAACAGAGUCCAUAAAAGACAGAAGCAUUUUGCUUGUGAGCUCUGUGGACAAAGAUUUAGCCAAAAGACACAUUUAACUAGUCACAUGAGAGUCCACACAGGACAGAAGCCCUUCGCCCUUGAGCUCUGUGUAAAAAGAUUUAGCCAAAAGAUAACUUUGAACAGACGCAUGAGAGUCCACACUGGCUUUUUGCCUGUGAGUUUGGUGGAAAAUAUUUACCCGAAAGAUCAAUUUAAACGGUCACUUGAGAGCACACAGGAUAGAAGCCUUUCACCUGUGAGCUCUGUGGACAAAGAUUUAGCCAAAAGACACAUUUAAACAGUCACAUGAGAGCCCACACAGGACAGAAGCCUUUCGCUUGUGAGUUCUGUGUAAAAAGAUUUAGCCAAAAGACACAUUUAAACAGACACAUGAGAGUCCACACUGGCUUUUCGCCCGUGAGUUUGGUGGAAAAGAUUUACCCAAAAGAUCAAUCUAAAAGUCACAAAAGAGUCCAUAAAGGACAGAACCAUUUUGUGUGUGAGCUCUGUGGACGAAGAUUUCGCUGAAAGAAAACUUUAAACAAUCAUCUAAGCGUCCACUAGGGCUGAACGAUCUAUUGCAGGGGUCUCCAACCUUUUUUGGCCCGUGAGCUACUUUUACACAAUCAAAGUACAGCAGAGUUACUGCCAUAUGAUUUAUUUACAUAGAUACUUUCCAUGUGUGAAUGUGCUUAUGUUAAACAUGCUAUACUUACUAUAUUAACAUGCAUUGUAUUCACAAGUUGAUUUCUCUGUAUUUUAGUACAUCAGUAUAUGUAUAUUUUAAAAGUAUAAGUAAACUAGUGACAUUCUGAAAACCAAAUUGAACAAAACAUAUUUAGUUUUUUAAACUAAUCAGAUACUUUCAGAUAAUGAAUAACAAAUCUACUUCAUGUGAAUGAUUUGGUAAUUUUUUUAGAAGGUUAGUAACAUAACUUUUUAAGCACACAGGAACAGCUAACCUGUAAAGCUGAUGAUAUUUUAUAUAAAAUACAAGCUAAAUGUGAUGAAAACACAAAAGUCUAAAUAGUUUGAACUGAAGUAAAAAAUGUAAAAUCAGAAAUAAGACUUGUUCCUGCUCUCCUGAUUUACUGAAUAAUCUUAAUGGGGUUUUUUUUUUUUUUUGGUCAUGAAAGUUAAGUUUUGCUGGUUUAUUGCUGACAAUAUUAAGGUUGGAGGUUUAUCCUUUUUUUUCUGCAUCUUGUAGGUUUUUUCUCCGCAGGUCUGAAGGCUGUGCGUUACACAGAGCAGAGAGACAGAGCAAGAGACCAGAACCAAAAGAAAUGAUCACAUCACACCAAUCUUAAAAUAUUUACAUAGGCUUUCAGUAACUUACAUGAUUGAUUUCAAAGACCUUUUACUUACUUUUAAAUCAUUAAAUGGCCAACGACCUCGUACUUAGCAGAGAUGUUUCAAACGUAUCACCCUUCAAAAUCACUUAGGUCAGCAGAUAAAUCCCAACUGGUACAACCCAGAGCCCGCAUCAAGCACGGAGCGGCUGCCUUUAGCUGCUAUGCGGUCAAUCUCUGGCACUGUCUUCCAAUAGACAUUAAGACCUCUCCCACCAUUUCCAUUUUUAAAUCCAGAUUAAAAACUAAACUUUUUCAUGAUGCCUUCCAUUAACCUAUCCUUGCAUCUGUGCUCUAUUAGGUCUUCAUCUGUACUGUGUUAAAUUUAUUCUAUAUGUAUUUUAUAUGUAUACCUAUUCCGUGCUGUUUUAUUGUGUAUUAUUGUGUAAUUAAAGUGAAUACUUGUAAUAAAGUGUAGUUAUUGUGUAAAGCAGUAUAUACUAGCAAUGAUUAAUAAAAAUGAAAACUAGAAUUGAACCUGAGUUACAUGGUAAUAACAAUUUAAGAACUCAGAAACAUUCUUCAACUCCGAAUCAGGAGGAUCAGCACCUCCAAAUCUGAGACCAUGUUUCUCGACCGGAAAAGGGUGGCUUGCCAACUCCGGGUCGGGGGAGAGGUCCUACCUCAAGUGGAGGAGUUUAAGUAUCUCGGGGUCUUGU
Molecule: non-coding RNA, 3241 nt
Organism: Nothobranchius furzeri (turquoise killifish)
Lineage: Eukaryota; Metazoa; Chordata; Actinopteri; Cyprinodontiformes; Nothobranchiidae
Source: RefSeq, a predicted model, not a curated record